UCUUAGGCUCAGGAGUGAAUUGUUAAAUAAAUCAGUCAGAAUUUUCGUAGGAUUUGUGUCUUCAAGGGAUUGGCACCCUACUUUUGUUUUGGCCUUUUGUACUCAACAUAUGAGGAGGUCAUUUUGAGAUGACAUGCACUUUUGAUGUGUGGACCCCUCCGGGGACGCACGCUCGCAUGAGUACUAUUUGUGGUGAGACCACACAUUCGCCAUGUUGGUCGAAAUGCUGGAAGCAGCUCGAGUCCUUCGGUGUGCUCCACUGAAGUUGACUCCUGCUCGAGGGUUGGGAGUGCUCCGCCAGAAGUCCUAACAGCUUCCAGUGCGGAGCCGGGAGCUUGUGAACUUUCUUUUGAAGAGCUUGUGAAUUUUUUUGGAAGAGCUUUCGAUUUCUUUUGGAAUUCAUUUGAAGAUGUUUAGAAGUUGUAAAAUGAGGCUGUGGGAUCUGUACCACGCCAUCUGCAGCGGCCGGCUCCAACCAGGUUAGCAGCCAGCUUCCCGGGGAAAGGCAAGUUCGCUCCCCGCUGCUGCAGUUCCAGCAGCAGUUGUUGAGGUCGGUCUGUUGCAUAACUUUUGUGUGGCAUUCGCCACCAACUAUAAAUUUAAAAUGGUUAAUUAUGAUUUAAUUUUAUUCAGUUUGAAGUUUUGAAAGUUCUGGUGCAUAAAACUUAGGUAUUUCGAAAUUUAGUUUUUAGUUUUUAAUUAAUGGGUGUAAACCCUUAUAACUAGAACCUGUGAAGCGACCCAGCUUACCACUGAGCAUUUAAUAGUAAAUGAUUAGAUUAAUAAAGUUUGUUAGACAUAAAUUUGUUUAAUUGUUUCUCCUCCUAGCUUUCCUGCAGCAAGGUUUCCGUUUAGUCUAUAUAAUUUAAUUUUGUUUUGUUAACAUGGCUGUUUCCAUUUUCCACAAGCCGGAGCUUUUCAUUUAUUAUUUUACCCCCUUUCAAAACAGCCGUGUUACAAUGGCGCCCAAGGAUUUUCAUGUUUCUAAAUAAUUACUUGCUGGAGGAAAAGCCUAGACUUAUUUUUAUGCACCAGAAAAUCAUUUUGUUUAACUCACCUUUUGUAGAGUAUUUUGUUACAUUGCAAAGAUGUUUUAGGUAUUGCAUACCAUAAUUUGGGCAUUUGCCUACAUUUCUAUUGAAUUUUGUGCACAAUUACAUGUAAUUUUUCUGAAAACGAUUGAAUUUUGUAUGACACAUUUUGAGGUUAUAAAAAUUUGCUGACUUGACAGAUGUCAAAGCACAUGUUGCAUUUUUAGUCAAUUUGGAUACUAUUUUGAAGUUUUGACACUAGUAUUUCGUUUGGUUUCACAUUUAACAUUUUAAUUUCAAUUAAAAAUAAAAAUGUUGUAUUUUAUAACAUAAAAAAAGAGAACACAAUUUUGCCACUUGGGAUCACAUGUAAUAUUUGUAUUUAGUUUAGAAUUUCAUAUUUUAAGAGAAAGUUUUGUGAAUUUUAAUAGAAACUUGUCACUUUAUUAUUUUUAUAUGUUUGCUGGAACUGCAUUUUUUUUCAAUAGUUUGUAUAUACAUUUUGUAACUUUUUACACAGAGAUUUGUUUUGUACGGUUAAGCCUAAAGGCAUAGUAAUUUCACCACACACCAAGUAUUGUUAAGGAAAACAAUAGUUAACACAAUUAACAUAAUUUAAUUUCAUUUUAUUACACAGCACAUUUGUUGUAAACAUGAAGCACCAGAAAUUUCAAUGCAGUAGCAUAUUUAGUAUAUUAAAGUUGAAACGCAACACUCAAUUUCACAGCUUAUUGAUAAUAAUUUAUUUAGGAAGGUCAAUGCCAAUCAGGAGCUCAUCCUAGGUCCAAGCAGCUGUGGAAGCAGUGUCGGCAAUUUUGUUUUUCAGAGCUCUCCGCAUAGCC
Molecule: long non-coding RNA, 1873 nt
Organism: Cydia splendana
Lineage: Eukaryota; Metazoa; Arthropoda; Insecta; Lepidoptera; Tortricidae
Exons: 3
Source: RefSeq, a predicted model, not a curated record